This is a microRNA precursor of Brassica oleracea var. oleracea, 125 nucleotides long. It matches the Rfam family "MIR9563 microRNA precursor family". NCBI's taxonomy places the organism in Eukaryota, Viridiplantae, Streptophyta, Magnoliopsida, Brassicales, Brassicaceae. The record is from Rfam.
GGAAGUUAAGAAACUGUUUCUUAAUUUUUAACUAAAAAUGGUAAGAACCGGUUCUUAAAUAAGAACGCUAAGAACGGGUUCUUAGCCUUUUUAGUUAAAAGUUAAGAAACAGUUUCUUAACUUCC